UUUUUAGGGCCGCACUCACGGCAUAUGGAAGUUCCCAGGCUAGGGGUCGAAUCAGAGCUGUAGCUGCUGGCCUACACCACAGCAACACUGGAUCUGAGCUGUGUCUGUCACCUACACCACAGCUCAGGGCAAUGCCAGAUCCUUAAACUACUGAAUGAGACCAGGGAUCGAACCUGGAUACUACUUGGGUUCGUUAGCCACUGAACCACGAUAGGAACUCCCUCUUUUCUUUCCAUUUAAAAAAAAAAAAAAAAUCCAUACUCUACUGAAUGCCUUCUUCAAUGUCAUGUGUUUAAUUUGCUGUGGCUGAUCUUUCUGACUUCCAUGUUCUGGCACAAUUUUUAGCCCUUAAUGUCAGACAAUGUAUGGGAGUAGAAAUGUGGGAUCAGUUGCAAAUAAGGGAAGUUUACCACAAUUCAAAGAUCCAAGUUUUAUAUGACCUUUCAAGAAAUGUUUGCAGGAACACAGAAGACAAGUAAGUGACAAUUUGAGAUUGGUGGAAGUUCUUUAAGGUCCUGAGGACUGUUAUAAACCUCAUGGUGGUCCCAUCACCAUGGGGGAAGAAACUGUGGCUUUGUAGGAUUUGAACAAUAGAGGAGCACAAGUGUGUGAUGCUACAGGUAGCCUGUAUCCUUAGGAUCCAGCCCUGGAAUCAGCCAUGUCUCCUAGAAGCCUCCUUUCAGUGGGAACUAAUACCUGGGCGCUAGACUUUCUGCUCUGGUCUUUGCUUCUUGGCACUUUCAGUAAAUAGAGCUAGGGAAUCCAAUCUAUUUUUCUAAUCUAAUCUUAGAUUUCCUAGCUCUCUUUACAUAUAUAUACCUGCAUACCAAUAUACUCAUAUACUAGCUAUUCUUCUGUUAUUUUUAUUUUUAUAUAAAACUUAAAAUUUCAUCAAUGCAAAGGUGGUUUUCACUUUAAUAUCAAUAUAUCACACUAAUCUUGGCUUAAGGGAACUGCUUUUGUAAACAGAGGAUAGUAAUAACCAUUUUAUUCCCAAUUGCAGGAAAUACUUAACCUAUUUAAUCUCUAUAUGAAUUGAGCAUAGGAGAAAAUGAUUUUAGUGUAAUACUUCCUUGAAAAAGCUUAUUUUAUUGCCCUAUUCCUAAUAUUUCCUCAUUCUUUCUACUCUUCAUCUCUUGCCAAGCCCUCAUCCCACCAAGGGAGAAGGAAAACCCUGCCACCACUGUGUUCUGGCAGUUUCUGCUUCGUAGAAAUGGAAUUUGCAGUUGAAAACAGACUUUAUUUUUGGGAGAGUCGUGGCAUGUGAAAGUUCCCAGGCCAGGGACUGAACCCAUGCAACAGCAGAAACAGGCUUUUAACUCAUCAGUCUUUGGAUCAGAACUCUCAAUUGUAUAUCUAUGGCCCUAAAAUGAACUCAAAACAAUUGCACUCCAUUGCUUCUGCUUUAGGCUUGCGUCUAUAUUGAAGAACCCCUACCCAAGGCCAGAGAUUAACCAACUCUGAGUCCAUCAUGGUAAUUCAUGCUAAUUUUAAUUACAAUAAGCUAAACUAAAGUCAAUUUCACCUGCUUCAAAUAUGUGAUUUAAAAGAUCAUAACUGCUGAUCCAGUGGUCCAUGGAGGUCCAUUAAAUUUUAAAAUUCUGGAUCCUAAAAAACUAAUGUUCAUCAUCACUUACAUUUACUUUUGUUUCUGGCAUAAAUUAACAUUAAAAAACUAUACUCUCAAUAGGAUUUCCUAAAAGACAGCCUUUUAAACUUAUUUUUUAUUUUUUAAAUUAAUUAAUUAAUUUAAUGGCUGCUCCUGUGGCAUAUGGAAGUUCCCUGGCUAGGGGCAGAAUUAGAGCUGCAGCUUUGCUCUAUGUAUGCCACAGCCACAGCAAUGUCAGAUCCCAGCCACAUCUGCAACCUGUGCCACAGUUUGCAGCAAUGCCUGAUCCUUAACCUACUAAGUGAGGCCAGGAAUCAAACCAGCAUCCUCACAGAGACAGCAAGGUCCUUAACGAGCUGGGCCACAACAGGAACUCCUAGACAGCCAUUUUUUCCAUUAAUUCUGGAAAAAGUUUAAGUUUUACAUUCUACUGACGUAGUCCAAAGCUUUAGAAAAUACAUCUCAAAAAAUAUAUCAUAUCGCUUUACUCAAUUUUAUGUGGCUAUGAUAAGCCAACAGACCAUCUCAUGAAGGCUUAACUUUUCAGUCAGAGGAGAUUACCCUUAAUGUCAGAGAACUUUCAUCUUAGAAACCGUCGUGAUUAUUAUCGCUACUGAAACUUUUAAGCAUUUUAACCAUUUUUAUAUCUUCUCUUGUGAAUUAUCAUUUGAUAUAUUUUACCAUUUUUCUAUUUAAGUCUCUGCCUUAACUCUUUGUCUCAUGUAGUAUGACCAUUUCUACUCUGUCAUAUUAAGUUUUGCAGAUGUUUCCCCAAAUUGCUAUUUUUCAUAUUUUGUUUGGCAUGUCUUGAUGUGUAAAGUCUUCACUAUCUUUAUCUUGUGGAUUUUUAAAAGUUGCUUUAAUUCUUGGAAGGUUUUCUCUCAUCUUCAGAGCAUGCAAAUGCUCAUCUAUUUGGCUUUUAAGAAAAAUUUAACUCUCUAAUCCAGCUACAGUUUAUUAUACCUUUUUCUUCUGUUAACCAAUUGUUCUAGUACUGUUUAUUAGAUAGUUUAUUCUUUUUCUAUUGCUGUAUAACGACCUUGUGAUGAGGGUUUCACCAACACAGCAGACAGGACCAUGGUGAACUCCAUGCAGGCUCUCAGUGCUUCUCUGGCACUUCCAUUUCAUCGACCAAAGCCCGUCCCAUGGGCAUCCCUAACCUUCGAGGAUGUGGAGAAGUGCUACUUCCUUAUGCACAGAAGGAAAGAUGAUCUGGAAUAUCUGUAAACAAUCCAGUGACUACCACAUUUUCUUAACUCUUUCAAUUUCAGUGUCCUCCCCUGGAAAAACUGGACAAAAAUACCCAACUCAGAGAGGGUCUUGUGCAUAUAGAUAGCUUCAGGGUUAGGAGCGAUUUCUGGCAUUACACUGCCUGGAUGGGAUCCCAGCUCUAGGCUUCUUAGCAUAACCUUGGCCAAUCUUCUUCAUCUCUCUCAUUGGAUUUCUCAUCUAAAAAAUAACCUUAGUGCCUAUUUGUUUAAUUGUAAAGAUUAAAUCAGUUAAAAUAAGCAAAAUAUUUAGAACUGUGCCUAGUACAUAGCGGGGAUACUUGCUUUUGGUCCCUAACCUGUCUUCUGGACCAGAGGGUCCUUAGUGAUGAUGGGUGGUUAUCAGGAUGAUGAUGAUGAUGAUCAGUAGAUAGGCUAUGCUUGUUCUCUAGCACUGAGCUCAUGAGUACUUGCGAAGAAAGAGCCAAUGAAAUCUCAUCAGGUUCCACUUGGUGAACUGGAGUGGGUUAUGUGGAAUUCAAACAGGUUCAUGGAAGCACAAGUUUAACAGUAAGUACAGCAGGAGCAGUCCUGAAGGGGGUGACAGCUGUGUGUUUGCCCAGUGGUCCAGUGC
RNAcentral lists this long non-coding RNA (3451 nucleotides) under Sus scrofa (pig). RNAcentral's name for it is "lncRNA (ENSSSCG00005026295.1)". Lineage: Eukaryota; Metazoa; Chordata; Mammalia; Artiodactyla; Suidae. The record is from RNAcentral.